This is a non-coding RNA of Pelobates cultripes (western spadefoot toad), 221 nucleotides long. Lineage: Eukaryota; Metazoa; Chordata; Amphibia; Anura; Pelobatidae. The record is from the annotation of a GenBank genome assembly.
ACAAAAUCAAAACAACUAGCGAACCUGGCAAAGGACUUCUGGCAGUUUUGCCUCCACAACGCAGUGUCGGUUACUGCCGAACACAUCCCAGGAUUGGACAAUGAAUGUGCGGAUUGGAAUUUACGUUGCUUGAAAGACUCAGGGGAUUGGCAUCUGCUCCCUUCAACCUUUUGACAGAUCGGUUAUGGGAUCCGUUGCAACUGGAUUUGUUCGCAUCCAGG